CGUGGAAGGAUUUGUCCGAUUGCAACCACGGUAAAAAAUGCUAAACCGGUGGAC
Cryomorphaceae bacterium BACL18 MAG-120924-bin36 is the source of this 54-nucleotide non-coding RNA. The record is from Rfam. NCBI's taxonomy places the organism in Bacteria, Pseudomonadati, Bacteroidota, Flavobacteriia, Flavobacteriales, Cryomorphaceae.